GCAAGAAGUGCUGAAAGGUGUGAGUUAUUCAUUUUCGACGGCACCUUUGUUGAUUCGCUGAUAUCACAAUCGACGGCCAACAACUCUCUCAGGUCUGAACCCAUCUCUGUUAGCCCAGGAUACCUAGCCAUUGCCAUAACAGCUGCUUAAGGAGGAAGAAAGGAAGAUGCUAAGGUUAGCCGGGAGGAGGUUCUCAUCUCUACCUCGGAGGUCAUCGCAAGCAACCUUCACUUUCGUGCAUCGAAGCCAUCCUCUUUGUACCGAUGUUUCUGAUGCCGAUGAUUUCGCUUCUUCCAGAUCCGUCCUCGCUCCCUAUCGUUUCUCCUUCACUCGUGAUCUAAUAAGAGGUCAGCUCUUUCUCUCGUUUGUUUCUUUCAUCUCCGAAGAUUUUGGUCUCAUUUCGCCUUCUCGAGUAUUUCAAUUUGGUUUAUUUUUUUUUCCCGCUUUUUCGUUUUGAGUAUUUUGCCCUCUGAACUGAAAGUACUUUUAUUUGCAUAUUUUUCUGUUUUAUGGUUCCUUGAUCGCGGAAGAAAUGCGAAAAUUAAUGAGGUUUGACUAUAAACCUUCGUAUCUGGUUUCGUAUAGCUUUGAACGGUUGAAUGCUCGUUUUUCAAACUUAAUUUUUGGUUGAGAAUUCUUUCUAUGUCUGCUAUAAAAUUUUGGUGGCUGAUAUAGUUUGGUGACAAUUUACAAAACCUUGUAGAAUUAUCACUGUUUUAUAUUGGUGUGUUUCUAUAGUUAGAUUUAAUCACUUUUCUUUGCUAUAUGUGUUGUUCUGAAUGGAUUUUGCGUUGCUAUGUGCUUUAAUCAAUUAACUGAACCCGUCUGGAAGGUACUUUGUUUACUGCUAUGUGGUUUAUAUUGUUCCUUCUUAUUUUAUUGAGAUUUAUUUAAAAUUAUGUUGAAGAUGUGAAGAAGAAAUUUCUGUUCAUCUGAACAACUAUCCUCUGCUUCGAGAAGUCAAAUGUUUUAAUAAAUGGAAAUGUUUACUCUUUUGAACCUCCCUCUUUUGAAUUUUAAUUGUACCUUUUCUUUCAAUACCUGUGUUCUGGAAGGUAAAGGGCUUACUUCAAAAAGAAUAAAUGGAUAGUGUGCAAUUUAAUAAAGUUGUAUCAUUGUAACUCUCAUCUGAGUCAUGAUUCAUGAAUUAAAGGAGAUAUAGUAAUUGGGCUAGGAGACUUGCUUGGAGGAUAUGGGUGACCAGGUGUUAAAGUCGCUCUUUUAUCUGCAGUUUUAGAGUGGAUUUGCUAUUUUAGAUUUCAUGUGUACUUUAGUAGCAUGGUAAAUUUUUGCUAGCUUGGAAAAUGUACAUUCUGAUGCUUCUACCAUUAGUAGCAUUGCUUCUAUGGUGAACUUAGUUGCUUCAGAUAUUAACAGCAAACAAUAUGUUUGUAAGCCGGAAUUGUCCAUCUGAGGGUGUGUGCACAGUAUGGCACCAAUAUGUUUAUUAUUUCUCACUUAUGUUGUGAUUCUUCUUUUAGCUUAUUAGUUUUGAGGAUAAUGUUUAGGAUGAAGAUGAUAUUGAAGCGUAAGGAUUAAGGAACGUGUUCAUCAUCCCAUAUGAAUAUUUUGGAAGAUGUGUAUGUAUCAUAUUCUGAACAAGAUCCUUUCAGAUGAUUCAUGGGGCUAUGGAUGUGCUGCUUUUCAGUUUUUUGUUCAUCACUUGUUGAGAGCAAUGAAGAGCAAAAUUAUCAUUACAGUAUCCUUUUCUGUGUUAUAUUUUUCCUCUAACAUGUUAGGACUACUCAUCAAGCUUCUGUCUUGAACUACAAAUUAGGAAAAUGCAGACCUUGGCUCAGCGAAUAUUCCAUGCUUGUUUCUUUCUCAUAUUUUUAACUGGACAUCUUGUAAUUUCAUCUCAAGCAGUUCUGUAGAUAAAUUUGUUCCUCCUUAUAGUGUCACUAGUGAUAGACAAGCUUAAUGUCCUUAUGUAUCUUUCUCUUGAAAUUACAUGUAUUUGCAGCAUAUUGAAUUUGCAAACAUUUAUUUUUUCCAGGGUUUUCUUCUGAUGCCUUUGCACCAGGACAUGAUCUGGGUAUGAUCACAGAUCUACCAGCUACAGUAGCAGCAGUGAAGAAUCCUACUUCAAAAAUUGUUUAUGAUGAGCACAAUCAUGAGCGUUUUCCACCUGGUGACCCCAGCAAACGUGCAUUUGCCUACUUUGUCUUGACUGGUGGGAGGUUUGUAUAUGCCUCUUUAGUUCGUCUUCUUAUCCUCAAGUUUGUUCUGAGCAUGUCCGCCAGCAAAGAUGUCCUUGCCCUUGCAUCCCUUGAGGUAGACCUCUCCAGCAUUGAGCCUGGGACCACUAUUACUGUCAAGUGGCGUGGAAAGCCAGUUUUC
This 2340-nucleotide unclassified non-coding RNA is filed under the name Hevea brasiliensis (rubber tree). The record is from RNAcentral. Lineage: Eukaryota; Viridiplantae; Streptophyta; Magnoliopsida; Malpighiales; Euphorbiaceae.